Molecule: ribosomal RNA, 253 nt
Filed under: uncultured bacterium
Lineage: Bacteria
Description: partial 16S ribosomal RNA
Rfam family: Bacterial small subunit ribosomal RNA
Source: RNAcentral
UACAGAGGUCUCAAGCGUUGUUCGGAUUCAUUGGGCGUAAAGGGUGCGUAGGCGGCGCGGUAAGUCGGGUGUGAAAUCUUGGAGCUUAACUCCGAAACUGCAUUCGAUACUGCCGUGCUUGAGGACUGGAGAGGAGACUGGAAUUUACGGUGUAGCGGUGAAAUGCGUAGAUAUUGGGAGGAAUACCGGUGGCGAAGGCGGCUCCCUGGACCGGUACUGACGCUGAGGCGCGAAAGCGUGGGUAGCAAACAGG